Gallus gallus (chicken) is the source of this 277-nucleotide long non-coding RNA. NCBI's taxonomy places the organism in Eukaryota, Metazoa, Chordata, Aves, Galliformes, Phasianidae. The record is from Ensembl.
CGCCUCUACGGUACCGAACAGAACUUUGCUGCCUCUUUGCCUGAUUGGAAAUCAUUGAUAUUGAGUGUUUCCCACAGUCUGCAUAAGAUAAUACGUGAGUUUCCUUUCUCCAGAAAUCUAGACAGCAACCUUCCUGACCAAGAAGUUUACAGGACUGCCGCUUUGUUGGUGAGGAGGAAACUGAAGCAGUUAUCCAUUACCAGUGCCACAUUCCUUUUCCUAUACAUAAACAAUCACUGAAUGAUGAAAUUAGAAAUACGAAAUACAGAUUAUGGAG